AACCAUAGAAACCUGCGGAGUACCUGCGGAGGGAUCAUUAACAAAUCGAAUGUUAUGUAGUUAUUUUUAAAAUAACUAUAUAAUAACAUUAACACCGGGUAUAUUCUAUUGUCUUAAGGUGGUUGUACAACUGCCUCAUUAUGAUAAAAUAUUGCCCUGUGGUUCGUGAUAUAUAUAGUAGACUCGUCUAUUUAUAUGUAUUGCAAUAUUAACGUUUUUUUAUGAUUGACAGAGUAGUCU
Molecule: unclassified non-coding RNA, 240 nt
Filed under: soil metagenome
Description: partial contains 5.8S ribosomal RNA, internal transcribed spacer 2, and large subunit ribosomal RNA
Source: RNAcentral